UACGGAGGGUGCAAGCGUUAUCCGGAUUUAUUGGGUUUAAAGGGUCCGUAGGCGGAUCUGUAAGUCAGUGGUGAAAUCUCAUAGCUUAACUAUGAAACUGCCAUUGAUACUGCAGGUCUUGAGUAAGGUAGAAGUGGCUGGAAUAAGUAGUGUAGCGGUGAAAUGCAUAGAUAUUACUUAGAACACCAAUUGCGAAGGCAGGUCACUAUGUCUUAACUGACGCUGAUGGACGAAAGCGUGGGGAGCGAACAGG
RNAcentral lists this ribosomal RNA (253 nucleotides) under uncultured prokaryote. Its description in RNAcentral is "partial 16S ribosomal RNA". It matches the Rfam family "Bacterial small subunit ribosomal RNA", at positions 524 to 776 of the family's 1533-position model. The record is from RNAcentral.